GGGGAAUUUUCCGCAAUGGGCGAAAGCCUGACGCAGCGACACCGCGUGGGGGAUGAAAGCUUUCGAGUUGUAAACCCCUUUUCCAGGGGAUGAGAAAGGACAGUACCCGGGGAAUAAGGUUCGGCUAACUACGUGCCAGCAGCCGCGGUAACACGUAGGAACCGAGCGUUGUCCGGAUUUACUGGGCGUAAAGUGCGCGUAGGCGGUUCGUUAAGUCUCAUGUGAAAUCUCCCGGCUCAACUGGGAGGGGUCAUGGGAAACUGCCGAGCUUGAGGGCAGCAGAGGAAAGCGGAAUUCCGGGAGUAGCGGUGGUAUGCGUAGAUACCCGGAGGAACACCAGAGGCGAAGGCGGCUUUCUGGGCUGUGCCUGACGCUGAGACAUGAAAGCGUGGGGAGCAAACCGGAUUAGAUACCCGGGUAGUCCACGCCCUAAACGAUGGAUACUAGACAUGGGGGGUAUCGACCCCCUCUGUGUCGUAGUUAACGCGUUAAGUAUCCCGCCUGGGGAGUACGGCCGCAAGGCUAAAACUCAAAGGAAUUGACGGGGGCCCGCACAAGCAGCGGAGCGUGUUGUUCAAUUCGAUGACAAGCGAAGAACCUUACCAGGGCUUGACAUGUUUCCGAAAGCCCCCGAAAGGGGGCCCUCCUUCGGGACGGAUUCACAGAUGUUGCAUGGUCGUCGUCAGCUCGUGUCGUGAGAUGUUGGGUUAAGUCCCGCAACGAGCGCAACCCUUGUCGCUAGUUACCUUGUCUAGCGAGACUGCAUGUACGUGCAAUGAGGAAGGUGGGGAUGACGUCAGAUCAGCACGGCUCUUACGUCCUGGGCUACAAACACGCUACAAUGGCCCGAACAAAGGGUCGCCAAGGCGCAAGCCGGAGCCAAUCCCACAAAUCGGGCCUCAGUUGGAAUUGCAGGCUGAAACUCGCCUGCAUGAACGUGGAGCUGCUAGUAACCGCAGGUCAGCACACUGCGGUGAAUACGUUCCCGGGCCUUGUACACACCGCCCGU
RNAcentral lists this ribosomal RNA (1009 nucleotides) under uncultured marine bacterium. RNAcentral describes it as "bacterial SSU rRNA". It matches the Rfam family "Bacterial small subunit ribosomal RNA", at positions 356 to 1397 of the family's 1533-position model. The record is from RNAcentral.